GACGAACGCUGGCGGCGUGCCUAAUACAUGCAAGUCGAACGCAGUGGGGACGGGUGAGUAACACGUGGGUAACCUUCCAUCAGAGGGGAUAACACUUGGAAACAGGUGCUAAACCGAUAUCGAUGGAUGGACCCGCGGGGGAUUAGCUAGUGGGGGGGGUAACGGCUCACCAAGGCCACGAGGCAUAGCUGGCCGGAGAGGGUGAUCGGCAAAACUGGAACUGAGACACGGCCCAGACUCCUACGGGAGGCAGCAUUGGGGAAUCUUCGGCAAUGGCCGAAAGUCUGACCGAGCAACGCCGCGUGAGUGAAGAAGGUUUUCGGAUCGUAAAGCUCUGUUGUUAGGGAAGCGGUAUCUAACCAAAAAGCCACGGCUAACUACGUGCCAGCAGCCGCGGUAAUAC
This 403-nucleotide ribosomal RNA is filed under the name uncultured bacterium. RNAcentral's name for it is "partial 16S ribosomal RNA". It matches the Rfam family "Bacterial small subunit ribosomal RNA", at positions 28 to 526 of the family's 1533-position model. The record is from RNAcentral.